RNAcentral lists this long non-coding RNA (1085 nucleotides) under Heterocephalus glaber (naked mole-rat). RNAcentral's name for it is "lncRNA (ENSHGLG00000044404.1)". Lineage: Eukaryota; Metazoa; Chordata; Mammalia; Rodentia; Bathyergidae. The record is from RNAcentral.
GGUGAUUGGAUCAUGAGGGUUCUGUACUUAUCAGGGGAUUAAUCCAUUGCUUUUGGGCCCACAGCUGCAUAUGGUGUAGAAAGUGGGACCUAGUUGUAAGAGGUGUAUUUUUGUCCUUGGCUCCUCCCCUGUCUUUCUGCUUCCUAAGUGCUAUGGGUUGAACAGCUUUCCAGCAUGCCAUUUCUGCCUCGAAGCCGGCUGCCAUGUGUAGGUUGAACCUUUGAAAACCAGGAGGCAAAAUAAACCUUCCCUUCUGUGUGGGUGUCAAGUAUUUUUGCCCCAGCCACAGAAAAGUGACAAAUACAGUUCUCAAUACAGCCGUGUUCAGAGGCGGAGCCUAGAAAAGUGAUUGAUUGGAUCACAAGGGCUUUAACUUCAUCAGUGAAUUAAUCACCUUUAUGAGAUCAUAAUUUUGAUGACAUUGGCGGUGGAUGAUGGAAACUGGAGGUGGGACUUAGUUUAAGGGAGCCAAUCAUGAGGACAUAACCUAGGUAAACUCUGUCCGGUUCCUGGUCACUGUGUCACUCUUUCUCUCUCCCUCUCUCUCUGUUUCCUGGCUGCCAUGAGUCCUUUAUCUGUGAGAUCAAAACCAAACCAGGGCCGAGGAUGUAGCUCAGCAGCACAGCACCUGCCUGGCAAGCAUGAGGUCCUGAGUUCAAUCCCCAUCGGUUCCAAAAACAACAACAACAACAAACCAAACCAACAACAACCACACAGGAGCAGGGAUAACAAAGUGUGGGUCAGGCGUGCAUCCCUUUGAGAAACACCCCCUUGGAGGAUUCCAGAAACAGAGUCUCCUGCAGCCAGAGCAUUGAGAAUACAGCCCAAGCCCACUGCCAAGAGGGAGGGGGCAAAGAAAGAUUUGAAGCUUGCAUUAGCUGGGAGUAAGCCUGCAAUGGCUUCAGAGAAAAGGCAGAAACAAAGGCCUGAGAGAGUCUUUUCAUACCCUGCAUUAAAGAUAAAAUCUAAUUUAGAUGAAAAUGGAUGCAUAGAAAUUAAAUGUGUGCGUGUGUGGUUUUUGUUGUCAAGCCAUAUAUCCUGUAAUGAUAGCUUUACUAAAUUUAUUCCCUUGCCUUGAAAAUAAA